UUUCAUAGGAUUAUUGGUUAUUUUUAUAAAAAUGGUCACCCUUAGACUGGUUAAAACCGAUGCACGUACCCUAGUAUUGUCGAUUUCAUGUGCUUUGAGGUUGAUGAGAUUGCAAGUCAAAAAUGCGUCGGGAUGAAAUCUCACUUCGCAUUAAGCUUCUAGAAUGAGUAGUAAGAAAAUGAGUCACACUCUCACUCUUGUCCAAAACAUUGUUGAACCAUGUAUUAACGGAGUAUUAUUUUCAAGAACCAUUCUCAUUUCAUCACUUAACUAUCAACUCUUCAUCACGCUUGCCGAUAAGAUUGCUUCACUGUCCGUGUCGUGUUUUUCUGUAGCCCGGGUUGACUUCUACCCGCUAAUAAAAGUCACAAUUCGGAACAUUUUGAUGGUAUCACGUACUAUAAAACCACUAUAGCUCACUCGGCUGCGUCGCGUCACCGUUAUCAGAAACGUUAUCAGAGCACAGCAAGACUGCACAAUGCAACAAUGCCGACAACAACACACCGUUUCGUGGAACGACAGCUUCAACCGCACUCUGGCACUCUUGCUCGUUUGAUGCAUCUCGUGUGGGGCCUCGUUGAAUCACCAACCGGCUCGUGAUUGCUCUCGCCCGGCCUGGCGUGGCGUUCCACACCUUCACGCGUAUUUACGGAUUCAGUUGUAUGCUGGUGCGUAUAAUCCACAAAACGAUGCAGAAGUUCAUUCCUGCUGUGGAGGCUAACUACACACCAGCUGAUUUGGAUUUCACACGGUUCUACAACAAUGACACACAUACACGUGAUGGACGAGUUUGGACCAUAAGGUAACUGAAUUUCACUUUGAUUGACACUAUUUUGCCGCCCAUCACGCUACGAACCGCAGGAUGUGUGCCAAAACUGCCCACUACUGAAUAAUACGUAGCAAACGACCUCGUUCGCAUCAGUUUUGCUGGCACAAGCAAUUGACCGGACAUGCAAGUCAAUUUCAGGAAUCUUCAGAACCGACGCAUUCCCAAUUCUACUAUUUGGCUGUCGCGCGGAAUAGUUUCAGAGAUGAAUCCGCAACCGGCACUGACUUCAUUCAACUAGGUACUCCCUCAAAACAAAUAUCGGCGAAAAAGUUCAUCACGCGCCAGACAGCUCGAAUACGUGCUGGAGAAACGUGGAAGCAGAAAGAGAAAUAAAUAAGUCAACAAAUAUGGUUAAUAAAAAGCCGUCUUAACCGUGAA
Molecule: long non-coding RNA, 1207 nt
Organism: Aedes albopictus (Asian tiger mosquito)
Lineage: Eukaryota; Metazoa; Arthropoda; Insecta; Diptera; Culicidae
Exons: 4
Source: RefSeq, a predicted model, not a curated record